AGAAGGAAGAAUGCCCAGAAGUC
This 23-nucleotide non-coding RNA is filed under the name Cricetulus griseus (Chinese hamster). Lineage: Eukaryota; Metazoa; Chordata; Mammalia; Rodentia; Cricetidae. The record is from RNAcentral.